This 31-nucleotide non-coding RNA is filed under the name Mus musculus (house mouse). The record is from RNAcentral. Lineage: Eukaryota; Metazoa; Chordata; Mammalia; Rodentia; Muridae.
UGGGUAUUGCACAAGGGCUUACUGAAACUGU